CAAUAGCGUAUAUUUAAGUUGUUGCAGUUAAAAAGCUCGUGGUCGGAUUUUGGCUGAGAACGAUCGGUCCGCCGUUAGGUGUGCACUGAUUGGUCUCAGCUUCCUGGUGAGGAGGUGUGCUUCACGGCCACUUAGUCACCGUGGUUACUUUGAAAAAAUUAGAGUGUUCAAAGCGGGCUUACGCUUGAAUAUAUUAGCAUGGAAUAACACCAUAGGACUCCUGUCCUAUUUCGUUGGUCACGGGACGGGAGUAAUGAUUAAGAGGAACAGUUGGGGGCAUUCGUAUUUCAUUGUCAGAGGUGAAAUUCUUGGAUUUAUGAAAGACGAACUUCUGCGAAAGCAUUUGCCAAGGAUGUUUUCAUUGA
RNAcentral lists this ribosomal RNA (365 nucleotides) under uncultured eukaryote. RNAcentral's name for it is "partial 18S ribosomal RNA". It matches the Rfam family "Eukaryotic small subunit ribosomal RNA", at positions 592 to 976 of the family's 1831-position model. The record is from RNAcentral.